Molecule: small nuclear RNA, 295 nt
Filed under: Jaculus jaculus (lesser Egyptian jerboa)
Lineage: Eukaryota; Metazoa; Chordata; Mammalia; Rodentia; Dipodidae
Description: 7SK RNA (ENSJJAG00000007050.1)
Rfam family: 7SK RNA
About the family: 7SK was discovered as an abundant small nuclear RNA in the mid-70s but a possible function has only recently been suggested. Two independent studies have found that 7SK RNA binds the CDK9/cyclin T complex (known as elongation factor P-TEFb). P-TEFb activates transcription by phosphorylating the C-terminal domain of RNA polymerase II.
Source: Rfam by way of RNAcentral
GGAUGUGAGGGUGAUCUGGCUGCGACAUCUGUCACCCCACUGAUCGCCGAGGUUGACUGGCUGAUCUGGCUGGCUAGGCAGGUGUCCCCUUCCUCCCUGAGCACUCCACGUGCAUCCCUCCCAAACCUGCAUGCUCGGUCGAAGAGGGUGACCUUCCCAGAAUAGAAGAGGACCGGUCUUCGGUCAAGGGUACGUGAGUAGCUACGCUCCCCGGCUCCAACCUCCAAACAAGCUCUCAAGGUCCAUUUGUAGGAGAACGUAGGGUAGUCAAGCUUCCAAGACUCCAGACACNNNN